This is a long non-coding RNA of Chelonia mydas (Green sea turtle), 635 nucleotides long. RefSeq lists it as uncharacterized. The transcript is spliced from 3 exons. The record is from RefSeq and is a predicted model, not a curated record. Lineage: Eukaryota; Metazoa; Chordata; Testudines; Cheloniidae.
AGGGCCCCCCAUCCAGCACAUUUCACCCUGAUCCAUGUGGAGUGUGGCCCCAUCUCCGUGGACUGUUCUGCCUUGGGAUGAUUGGUAUCAAUCCUAGCGUUGAUCUUUCUGCCCGACCCAACCCUGCAGUCUGCACCUGCUUCUAAAACAGAACCAACUCCAAACCCAAGUGCCGUGACGCUGCAGUUGGAACUUGUCGCUACAAACAACUAAGAUGACAUGAGCCACCAGCCUCAUUCCGCACAGUGACCUCAGCCGGGACUGUACAGCUUUUGGAAAAGGAGGAGAGAGACUUUCAAGUGACCUGGCUGGAGCUCAGGCUACCGUGGGACCAGAGUGAGAGUCGCAGGGACCGUGAGAAGAGGAGAGGCUGCUAAGCCACACCCAGACAUGGUGGGGCAUUGUACAGGGAGUCCACUGGCAAGAACUUUCAUAGAAAUGCUGGGGCCUAUGUGAACAAUGGAGAAUAUUUACAGGUUGUGACUUUGGAAGUGGUGGGCCAGAUCCUCAGCUGGUGUCAAUCAGCGUAACACCAAUCACUUCACUGGAGCCAGGCCUGUUUUCAGCAGUGGAGGUUUUAGUCCAUGGUGUGUCUCGAGCAAAAUGUACCAUUGGGGAUAGUUGUCUUUUUGAUC